CUGAACCAGCCAAGUAGCGUGAAGGAUGAAGGUCCUACGGAUUGUAAACUUCUUUUAUACGGGAAUAAAGUAUCCUACGUGUAGGAUUUUGUAUGUACCGUAUGAAUAAGCAUCGGCUAACUCCGUGCCAGCAGCCGCGGUAUUACGGAGGAUGCGAGCGUUAUCCGGAUUUAUUGGGUUUAAAGGGAGCGCAGACGGGAGAUUAAGUCAGUUGUGAAAGUUUGCGG
This 227-nucleotide ribosomal RNA is filed under the name uncultured Bacteroides sp. RNAcentral's name for it is "partial 16S ribosomal RNA". It matches the Rfam family "Bacterial small subunit ribosomal RNA", at positions 383 to 607 of the family's 1533-position model. Lineage: Bacteria; Pseudomonadati; Bacteroidota; Bacteroidia; Bacteroidales; Bacteroidaceae. The record is from RNAcentral.